CAGGCUUAACACAUGCAAGUCGAGGUGCAUCAGGAUGUAACAAUACAUUGCUGGCGACCGGCGCACGGGUGAGUAACACGUAUCCAACCUGCCUUUUACUCGGGGAUAGGCUUUCGAAAGAAAGAUUAAUACCCGAUGGCAUAAUAUUCCCGCAUGGGAUUAUUAUUAAAGAAUUUCGGUAAAAGAUGGGGAUGCGUUCCAUUAGGCAGUUGGCGGGGUAACGGCCCACCAAACCUUCGAUGGAUAGGGGUUCUGAGAGGAAGGUCCCCCACAUUGGAACUGAGACACGGUCCAAACUCCUACGGGAGGCAGCAGUGAGGAAUAUUGGUCAAUGGGCGCAGGCCUGAACCAGCCAAGUAGCGUGAAGGAUGACUGCCCUAUGGGUUGUAAACUUCUUUUAUAUGGGAAUAAAGUUUUCCACGUGUGGAAUUUUGUAUGUACCAUAUGAAUAAGGAUCGGCUAACUCCGUGCCAGCAGCCGCGGUAAUACGGAGGAUCCGAGCGUUAUCCGGAUUUAUUGGGUUUAAAGGGAGCGUAGGUGGACAGUUAACUCAGUUGUGAAAGUUUGCGGCUCAACCGUAAAAUUGCAGUUGAUACUGGCUGUCUUGAGUACAGUAGAGGUGGGCGGAAUUCGUGGUGUAGCGGUGAAAUGCUUAAAUAUCACGAAGAACUCCGAUUGCGAAGGCAGCUCACUGGACUGCAACUGACACUGAUGCUUGAAAGUGUGGGUAUCAAACAGGAUUAGAUACCCUGGUAGUCCACACAGUAAACGAUGAAUACUCGCUGUUUGCGAUAUACAGUAAGCGGCCAAGCGAAAGCAUUAAGUAUUCCACCUGGGGAGUACGCCGGCAACGGUGAAACUCAAAGGAAUUGACGGGGGCCCGCACAAGCGGAGGAACAUGUGGUUUAAUUCGAUGAUACGCGAGGAACCUUACCCGGGCUUAAAUUGCAUUUGAAUAUAUUGGAAACAGUAUAGCCGUAAGGCAAAUGUGAAGGUGCUGCAUGGUUGUCGUCAGCUCGUGCCGUGAGGUGUCGGCUUAAGUGCCAUAACGAGCGCAACCCUUAUCUUUAGUUACUAACAGGUCAUGCUGAGGACUCUAGAGAGACUGCCGUCGUAAGAUGUGAGGAAGGUGGGGAUGACGUCAAAUCAGCACGGCCCUUACGUCCGGGGCUACACACGUGUUACAAUGGGGGGUACAGAAGGCAGCUACCUGGUGACAGGAUGCUAAUCCCAAAAGCCUCUCUCAGUUCGGAUCGAAGUCUGCAACCCGACUCCACGAAGCUGGAUUCGCUAGUAAUCGCGCAUCAGCCACGGCGCGGUGAAUACGUUCCCGGGCCUUGUACACACCGCCCGUCAAGCCAUGGGAGCCGGGGGUACCAGAAGCGCGUAACCGCGAGGAGCGCCCUAGGGUAAGACUGGU
This 1420-nucleotide ribosomal RNA is filed under the name uncultured organism. RNAcentral describes it as "16S ribosomal RNA". It matches the Rfam family "Bacterial small subunit ribosomal RNA". The record is from RNAcentral.